UGGGGAAUCUUGCACAAUGGGGGCAACCCUGAUGCAGCGACGCCGCGUGAGCGAUGAAGCCCUUCGGGGCGUAAAGCUCUUUCGACCGGAACGAUAAUGACGGUACCGGGAGAAGAAGCUGCGGCUAACUACGUGCCAGCAGCCGCGGUAAUACGUAGGCAGCAAGCGUUGUUCGGAGUUACUGGGCGUAAAGAGUGCGUAGGCGGUUUUCUAAGUUCGGUGUGAAAUCUCCCGGCUUAACUGGGAGGGUGCGCCGAAGACUGGGAAGCUGGAUUGUGGGAAAGGCAGGCGGAAUUCCUGGUGUACCGGUGAAAUGCGUAGAUAACAGGAGGAACACCGGCGGCAUAGACGGCUUGCUAGACCAUCACCGACGCUGAGGCACGAAAGCGUGGGUAGCAAACA
Molecule: ribosomal RNA, 402 nt
Filed under: uncultured bacterium
Lineage: Bacteria
Description: bacterial SSU rRNA
Rfam family: Bacterial small subunit ribosomal RNA
Source: RNAcentral